Molecule: long non-coding RNA, 232 nt
Organism: Helianthus annuus (common sunflower)
Lineage: Eukaryota; Viridiplantae; Streptophyta; Magnoliopsida; Asterales; Asteraceae
Exons: 3
Source: RefSeq, a predicted model, not a curated record
AUCAAUUGUGAUGUCAAAUGCAAGGUUAGCCGGUGGAGAAACAACAGGAAAUCAUUCGGAACAUAUACGGAGGACUGGCAUUAAGCCGGCGCGAGGGCGUAUUACAAUCAAAUUAGGUAGAGAUGAUGGUUUGAAACACCCAACCUGCUAUGAAUUCGUGCACAGUUGCCCUAAUAUAACAACCUUGGCACUAAAAGGAUUCAAGUUGCAUGAUUACAAGGCCUGUAUGCUG